GUUAGUAAUUGGCUCUCAGGCUCCAUGUUCUCAUUGCAAAGUGCUUGACUCACCUUGUUUUCUUGUACCAUAGGUCUCCCGGACUCUCCAUGGCUCUUACUUUGCACUUCAUCUCUGCACUCGGACCGUGGAUAAGAAACUCCACUCGGGAAAGUGCUCUGUUCCUCACCUGCCUGCCAUCCAGCCAUCACACGCCAUUGGAACAUGCAGUACUCAGGUUUCUGGAUUUUUGGCCCCUGUGACAUCUUUCAUGUCCUGAAUCUGUUUGGAAUACACCAUGUGAUGGUCACAACACGAAGCUAUUUUAUUCUUCAUUUAUCAGCAGUGAUGGGAAUAACAGCAUUACAACUUAUCACACAUUUGAUUUCCACGUGUGACAACUGCAAGUGUC
Long non-coding RNA from Oreochromis niloticus (Nile tilapia), 391 nucleotides. RefSeq lists it as uncharacterized. The transcript is spliced from 3 exons. The record is from RefSeq and is a predicted model, not a curated record. Lineage: Eukaryota; Metazoa; Chordata; Actinopteri; Cichliformes; Cichlidae.